Long non-coding RNA from Felis catus (domestic cat), 1020 nucleotides. RefSeq lists it as uncharacterized. NCBI's taxonomy places the organism in Eukaryota, Metazoa, Chordata, Mammalia, Carnivora, Felidae. The record is from RefSeq and is a predicted model, not a curated record. The transcript has 3 exons.
CUGUGUCUCCCUCUCUCUCCGCUGCUCCCCCCGCUCACGCUCUGUCUCUCUCUCCUUCAAAAAUAAAUAAACAUUAAAAAAAAAUUUAGAAGAGGUGUUUGGCCUGCUGUGGUGUCCUGGUGCUUUGGCCAGGAGCAGGUGGGGACCAAGCGGGCCAACAAGGCACCUGCCUAUAAACUGUUUCCUCCAGCAGCAGCAGGUGCUGAGGGCAGAGGGGCCAGGGAGAGCCCAGGCCUGGCCCCGACAGAGGAGCUGCUGCCCAGACCGGGACUCUGUCCAGACUGUUUGACUCAGUGCAGACACCCACGGACCAGGGUGAGCUUCUGCAGACCCCGUGGACACAUUUGAUUCUAUCAGCAACCUGCUGCCUGGAAUUAUUGAAGAACUUAUCACAUGGUCGUGGAGCUAAUUAACAGCCACGCUGGAUUUCACACUCAAGGCGUACCGUACAGGUCAUACGACUGAGUGCCAGGCACGGGACAGAAACACAGACACGAAAACAGGAAGAAGGCUCUAGUAUUAUGCUCGAUUCGUAGAAGAGGAAAUGGAGACUCAGAAUGUUCGUAGAAAGUCAUUUGCUAGACUCCGCAGAGCUCGUAAGGGGCAGUCCUGGGCCGUAAUCCCCCGCGUCUCCAGCUCCAGAUCCUCUGCAGCCGUGGAAUACUCUAGCAGCCUUCGCACCUGCAUCCCCACCUUGAAAGUCAGAGCCGUGGGUGAUUCCUGCCAGUGACGGUGACGGAGAGGAGCUGCCACGGCUCCGUGACCACGGGGCUCCCACGGCAGCUUUGCGCCACCCUCAGUGGUGAAGGCCUGGCAAAGCCUCCGUUCUGCGUAAUACUCCGUCCGUCUCUUCAGGGUUUUGCAGCAGUGACCAGCUUUGUUGCUAUAUUGGCACACUUUCCCAGAAAUAGAUUAGAAAGCAGGGAAAAUUUUAAAAACGGGGGUGGGCGGGGGAGAAAACCCACUCUGAUGUGUUAGUUUGCUAACGGCCUUAACUCCGUAAUAAAUAAAGACUGCAAA